CAAGACAACUUUACGGAGUUGACGAUUGACGGAGCGAAGCGACGUCAAAGCGUUCAUUAAAGUCGAGUUGGCUUAGGGAUACGUUCGUUGGGUAGGGGAGCGUUCUGUAAGCCUGUGAAGGUGUGUCGUGAGGCAUGCUGGAGGUAUCAGAAGUGCGAAUGCUGACAUAAGUAACGAUAAAGCGGGUGAAAAGCCCGCUCGCCGGAAGACCAAGGGUUCCUGUCCAACGUUAAUCGGGGCAGGGUGAGUCGACCCCUAAGGCGAGGCCGAAAGGCGUAGUCGAUGGGAAACGGGUUAAUAUUCCCGUACUUGGUGUUACUGCGAAGGGGGGACGGAGAAGGCUAUGUUGGCCGGGCGACGGUUGUCCCGGUUUAAGCGUGUAGGUGUGUGUUCCAGGUAAAUCCGGUUCACUUUAACACUGAGGCGUGACGACGAGGCACUACGGUGCUGAAGCAACAAAUGCCCUGCUUCCAGGAAAAGCCUCUAAGCAUCAGGUAACACGAAAUCGUACCCCAAACCGACACAGGUGGUCAGGUAGAGAAUACCAAGGCGCUUGAGAGAACUCGGGUGAAGGAAC
This 577-nucleotide ribosomal RNA is filed under the name Salmonella enterica subsp. enterica. RNAcentral describes it as "partial 23S ribosomal RNA". It matches the Rfam family "Bacterial large subunit ribosomal RNA", at positions 1163 to 1713 of the family's 2925-position model. The record is from RNAcentral. Lineage: Bacteria; Pseudomonadati; Pseudomonadota; Gammaproteobacteria; Enterobacterales; Enterobacteriaceae.